GCCCCCGUAGCUCAGGGGACAGAGCAACGGUUUCCUAAACCGUGUGUCGCAGGUUCGAGUCCUGCCGGGGGCG
RNAcentral lists this transfer RNA (73 nucleotides) under Euzebyaceae bacterium. RNAcentral's name for it is "tRNA-Arg". It matches the Rfam family "tRNA". From Rfam's summary of the family: Transfer RNA (tRNA) molecules are approximately 80 nucleotides in length. Their secondary structure includes four short double-helical elements and three loops (D, anti-codon, and T loops). Lineage: Bacteria; Bacillati; Actinomycetota; Nitriliruptoria; Euzebyales; Euzebyaceae. The record is from RNAcentral.